CCUACGGGAGGCAGCAGUGGGGAAUAUUGCGCAAUGGGCGAAAGCCUGACGCAGCGACGCCGCGUGAGGGAUGAAGGUCUUCGGAUCGUAAACCUCUGUCAGCAGGGAAGAACGGUCACUGUGCUAAUCAGCAGUGAAUUGACGGUACCUGCAAAGGAAGCACCGGCUAACUCCGAGCCAGCAGCCGCGGUAAUACGGAGGGUGCGAGCGUUAAUCGGAAUUACUGGGCGUAAAGCGCUCGUAGGCGGUAUGUCAAGUCAAGGGUGAAAUCCCCGCGCUCAACGUGGGAACUGCCUUUGAAACGGGCAAACUGGAGUGUGUGAGAGGAUAGUGGAAUUCCAGGUGUAGGAGUGAAAGCCGUAGAUAUCUGGAGGAACAUCAGUGGCGAAGGCGACUAUCUGGCACAUAACUGACGCUGAGGAGCGAAAGCGUGGGUAGCAAACAGGAUUAGAUACCCGAGUAGUC
RNAcentral lists this ribosomal RNA (465 nucleotides) under uncultured bacterium. Its description in RNAcentral is "partial 16S ribosomal RNA". It matches the Rfam family "Bacterial small subunit ribosomal RNA", at positions 338 to 795 of the family's 1533-position model. The record is from RNAcentral.